GAUAGGCUGGUCCAGACUCGAAGUUUUACAGACUGCCGUCAUAUAGCUGUAAUAUUGCUGAGUGCGGCGUUAAACAACAAACAAACAAACAAACAGUUACAGUGUCAAACUAAUAAUAUCAUUGAGCUUUAAUGAGUUUAUUUUUUCAAGUAUUUAAGGACGAUAAAGUCAGACCAAAUUCAGCUCCCGUGACGUGGAUGAAUCUGCCAAGUGAUUGAUUGCUUAAACAUAUUUUGUAACUUUGAACUAUUUUGUAACAAACAGCUGUGUUUGUAUAUUUUCGUUUUCUUCCAUAAUACAUGACCAAAUGACAGCCCUUCAUACCAUGUACCCGUACAUGUUUGAAAAGAGGCAAAUUUCGAACAGCCAUAAAUGACAUCACGUUUUUGUCAAUCGUCCAGGCGCCAGGUAUCGUAUGCCGCACAGACACUCGACUAUGAAGCAUAGUCUUGCAUGUAAGAUUAAGAAUGUGUCAGUUUAUAUGGGACCAGUGAAGCUUGAGGGCCCCGAUAAGCCUAAGUCUAACCCAUGACGUCAUCCGAUCCAGUAGGACACUUGGAAUGGCCAGGCACAUUCACAGAAGAGAAGGCAGCAUCAAAUGCAGCAAAGCCUUAGAUUUAAGGCAACAAUUAAGUUUUGGGAGAAAGUAGGGGUUAGGGAACUCAAGUAUUAGACCCUGUCGUUCAUGCCCUCAUCUGUCCUUUAAAUUAAGGUAUUGACUUUCGAUAACAAGCCACGAAAAGGCAUUGUAUUUGGUCAAUAUAAUAUGGCUAUUCUGGUGUUAAAUGAUAUCUUACACUUAUUUAUGCUCUAAUGGUGUUUGGGGAUAUAAUGUCAAAUGACUGGUUAAAAGCUCGAUUGAUAAAUAACAUUGAACACCGGUGAGUAUACUGUAAUAGUGUAUUUGGAUGUACAAAUAGAGCCAUUCUGAUACUGGAAAUCUUUUAAAAAGACCUUAUACCACUGCUUGAAAACGCAUUAGGCCUUACGUACAUGAAAACUUUGAUCCUUGGCUUCAAAAAAUAUCAAUUAAAGUCCUUGAAUUUGAGCUUUAUCAUGAAACAUGUGUGGAAUGGCCUUGUCCAUCUACGGGUUAGUUGUCAAUUGAAACUUCACAGCGGAGAGAUUACUUACUGUAAAAGGUGACUAUGCUUGUCGUAAGACCUGGUUGAUGCAUGUCAUCGUAUCCCAAUGCGUCGAUCGAUCCUGUUGGGUAGAGUGUCGGGUAGAUGCAGAAGACACACACCCUCCUCCUGCCCUCCUCUUCCCGACCCUCUCCAUCCUGCUCCUUCUUCUUUCCCAAAUCUUUCUUCUCCCCCAAAUCCUUCUCCUCUCGCAAACGCUGCCCUUCUUCUCCAUCCUCUUCCUCUUCCCCAUCCUUCUUCUCUCCCAAAUCUGUCUUCUCUCCCAAGUCCUCCUCUCCCAAAUCCUUCUCCUCUUCCCAAUCUAUCUUCUCUCCCAAAUCCCCCUCCUCUUCCCCAGCCUCUUCCUCUUCUCCAUCCUCCUCUUCCCCAUCCUUCUCUUCCCCAUCCUUCUCUUCUCCCAAAUCUUUCUUCUCUAAAUUCCCCUCUUCUUACCCAGCCACUUCCUCUUCCCCUGCCUCUUCUGUCUUCCUCCUCCUUCCUAUCCUCCCUGAAUGUCAGCAGUAGGUCUGGGAGACGACGAUGAUUUGGGGGACAUAUCAGUCGAUUCUCUCGAUUCCGACUCCGAGUCCGACUCCCAGGCAGAGAUAAGCGGUAAGUAACAGUAAUUCAUUUUCAGUAAAUUGAGUAUGUCAGUGUCAAAGAAAUGGUGGGAAUAUGAAUUUGUUAUGUUUUUGCAGUUUUCGUAAUUGUAGGCUAGAUCCACUCGUGACAGUUGUGAUGUUUCAAAUGUUAACAUUAUCUACCAUACCAUGAGGUCAUAGUAGAAACAGCCGACGUCCUUGUUUAGUAUUUCAUGAAAUAUGAAUCUUAGAAAUGAUUUGAAAGAAGGGCUCUCAUGAUAGUGAAGUUUUAACAUGUCUACAUGUGGCCUACACGUGCUUUUGGUUAAGUGCAGUGAUAUUAAUGGAAAAAUGUCUUUGUUAAAAAUUAAAAUUAUCUUGAAGGACACACUAGUUCACACUUUGGACCUGAAGCCAUAUUUUUAAAUGAGUAUAAUGAGUCAGUCCUCAAAUAUAAAAUGACAUUCUGCACAGGAGGAAUGGAAUGCCGAGCUCUUUCGUUAGGAAACGACCACAUGGGGGCUCGACAGUUGUGAGAAGACAGGGUCCACUGCUGGCAGUGCUCUUUUCAGACAGGAAGGUCUUCACAACCCUAUCUACUAUGGGUAGUCAAAGAAUCGAAGAUGGGCUUAACUCAAGGGGCCGGUCUGUCACUCUCCCCUCAGUCGUUAGACUUUACAACACUCUAAUGGGGGGAGUUGACAUUGGGGAUCAACUCAUUGGUGUCUAUGAUCCCCGCAAGUCCGCUCCGUGAAGCUGUGGAAGAAAGUUGUAAUCAACUUUCGUCUCACAGCAUCAGUUAAAGCAUAUCAGACAUUCUUGAACACUCAUGGCAGAACGACCACCCGUCUGGACUUCCACAUGUCUCUUCUCCACUCACUCGUCAAGAACACUCAGGUGAAGAGGAGGACUGGCAGGCCCAGGAUCCAGCCUCCUUCCCGACGACUGACCGGACGUCACUUCAUGGAAGUGCUGCCUGAAGGGAAGCGGAAACAGUGUGUUCUCUGCAGAAAGAGACAGAGGACCAUCGAUGGCUCCGCAGGAAAGGUCAGGACCUGGUGUCCUGACUGCCACGUUGGCCUCUGUGCACGCUGUUUACAUCAGUAUCACACAGCUGAUCACUUUGAAGAGUGAAAGGCUGUGUGUACUGGCAUAUGAUAGAACAUACACUCAUGUUCCAUCAUAUCAAUCCUUUAAGCAGUUUCCCCAUCUGUGACGUCAGAAACCUAUGAUUGUGGGUUCGAAUCCCGGUCGCCCCGGUCAUGUUUCUAGGUUUGUCAGCACCAUACCCGUGCUCGUGGGUUUCACCGAAGUGGUAAACGUCUGAGACCUACAUCACUUCGGGCUUUCCUCCAACAUUAAGCUGACACGCCGCGAUAUAACUGGAAUACUGUUAAAAGCGGCGUUAAACCCAACUCACUCACUCACUCACUCACUCCCCAUCUGUGUGCUUCAUUGUAAAUAACUAGUGAGCGAGUAGGACUUACGCCACACUUGCAAUAUCCAAGCGACAUCACAGCGAGAUAUUGUAUAUAUGUACUCAUUGUAAAUUUUUCAAAUGUGUGUAUAUAUAUUAAAGGAUGAUAUUGUGGAGAGAGUAUGACGUACAUAUGUUCAUAUUAUGUUCUCUUUUUAUUGUACAUGUAAUUAUUGUGUGUAUGUAAGCAUCUGUUCGUGAGUAGGACUUCCCACUGCAUCUGCAAUAUUCCAGCAACAUCGCAGCGAAUCUUUGUAAAUAGAUAAUACAUAUAUUGUAUAUAAUGUACUCAUUGUAAAUUUUUCAUAUGCGUGUAUAUAUAUUAAAGGAUGAUAUUGUGAGAGAGUAUGGCGUAACACCGUAUUUGCAAUAUAACAGCAACAUCAUGGCGAUUCAUUGUAAAAAGAUCAUUGUCUAUUGUAUAUGAUUAUGUACUUAUUGUAUAUGAAGUGAGUUUGUUUUAUGCCUCUUUUAGCAAUAUUCCCGCAAAAAUAUGUCAGUUUAAUGUACAUAUGUUCAUAUUAUGUUCUCUUUUUAUUGUACAUGUAAUUAUUGUGUGUAUGUAAGGAUCUGUUUGUGAGUAGAACUUCCCACGGCAUCUGCAAUAUUCCAGCAACAUCGCAGCGAAUCUAUGUAACUAGAUUAUGUAUAUAGUAUAUAUCUACUUACUGUAAGUACUCAAUAUAUAUAUAUCUGUGAGAAAGUAUGACUCAAUGCUGUAUUUGCAAUAUAACAGCAACAUCACAGCGAUUCAUUGUAAAUAGAUUAAAUUAUAUUGAUGAUACAUUUGCGAUAUUCCAGUUAAUUCGUGGCGAUUCAUUGUAUAUGGAUUAUUGAUCUUUUUUCACAAUUAUGUACUUCGUGUAAAUAGAGUGAGUAUGAUUAAUGCCGCUUUCAGCAGUAUUCCAGCAAAGAUGCGGCACUUUUUAAAAAAACUUUAUUGUACAUAGUUGAUAUAUUAUUCACAUGUAAAUACUGUCAAUAAAUAUGCAUAUAUUUAGA
This 4184-nucleotide long non-coding RNA is filed under the name Haliotis rufescens (red abalone). RNAcentral's name for it is "uncharacterized LOC124130164, transcript variant X1". The record is from RNAcentral. Lineage: Eukaryota; Metazoa; Mollusca; Gastropoda; Lepetellida; Haliotidae.